Molecule: long non-coding RNA, 214 nt
Filed under: Lathyrus oleraceus (garden pea)
Lineage: Eukaryota; Viridiplantae; Streptophyta; Magnoliopsida; Fabales; Fabaceae
Description: Pisum sativum (pea) long non-coding RNA (PSAT_LNC002191)
Source: RNAcentral
GGAAGAAAGCUCUGAAGAAGAGGAUGAUCCUUUGGUCCAUCUUGUAAAACCUAGUGUAGCCGAGAAAUUGAGAACUAGGAAAGGGAAAAGUGUGGCUAAAAUGAGAACAGCAAGAGUGAAAAAGGCUGCUGGUGUAGGACCAUCAAAUUCCUGGAGCAAAGUUGAGGUUAGGAAAAGGAAAGAAAGAGACAGUUCUGACUCUGAGGAGGAUGUC